This 253-nucleotide ribosomal RNA is filed under the name uncultured bacterium. RNAcentral's name for it is "partial 16S ribosomal RNA". It matches the Rfam family "Bacterial small subunit ribosomal RNA", at positions 524 to 776 of the family's 1533-position model. The record is from RNAcentral.
UACGUAGGGUGCAAGCGUUGUCCGGAAUUAUUGGGCGUAAAGAGCUCGUAGGCGGUCUGUCACGUCUGCUGUGAAAACUCGGGGCUUAACCCCGGGCCUGCAGUGGGUACGGGCAGACUAGAGUGCGGUAGGGGAGACUGGAAUUCCUGGUGUAGCGGUGAAAUGCGCAGAUAUCAGGAGGAACACCGGUGGCGAAGGCGGCAUCCUGGACCGGCAUUGACGCUGAGGAGCGAAAGCCAGGGGAGCAAACGGG